UUUAAAGAGAGUUUGAUCCUGGCUCAGGACGAACGCUGGCGGCGUGCCUAAUACAUGCAAGUCGAACGAACGGAGGAAGAGCUUGCUCUUCCAAAGUUAGUGGCGGACGGGUGAGUAACACGUGGGCAACCUGCCUGUAAGUUGGGGAUAACUCCGGGAAACC
RNAcentral lists this ribosomal RNA (163 nucleotides) under Listeria monocytogenes. Its description in RNAcentral is "partial 16S ribosomal RNA". It matches the Rfam family "Bacterial small subunit ribosomal RNA", at positions 1 to 158 of the family's 1533-position model. RNAcentral also lists the same sequence under 1 other name. Lineage: Bacteria; Bacillati; Bacillota; Bacilli; Caryophanales; Listeriaceae. The record is from RNAcentral.